GUCCAGCUGAAGAGUUCAGAACAGGGCGGAACCUGCGUCCUGGAU
Non-coding RNA from Schistosoma margrebowiei, 45 nucleotides. The record is from Rfam. NCBI's taxonomy places the organism in Eukaryota, Metazoa, Platyhelminthes, Trematoda, Strigeidida, Schistosomatidae.